This is a long non-coding RNA of Clupea harengus (Atlantic herring), 446 nucleotides long. The record is from Ensembl. Lineage: Eukaryota; Metazoa; Chordata; Actinopteri; Clupeiformes; Clupeidae.
GGUAAAGAGACGGAGCUCUAAUUCAGCGUUUGGCUCUUUAAAAAAAAAAAAUGGAAAUGAAAAUGAAGAGGAUGAGAGAGCAGAGGGACAAUCAGGCAGACAGAGACACAGUGAACACAGAGAAGAGAGAGGGACAAUCAGGCAAACAGAGACGCUGUGAACACAGAGAAGAGGGACGAUCAGGCGGACAGAGACAGAGCAGAGAGAGGGACAAUCAGGCAGACAGAGACACAGUUAACACAGAGCAGAGAGACAAUCAGGCGGACAGAGACGCAGUUAACACAGAGCAGAGAGAGGGACUUAGCCCUGCUCCAGCAGUCUGAUAAUAGACCCACCCAUCAACCCAUCACUCUUGUCCUCUAAACACUGGAGGAGAGCAAACAGUGGCACAUCUGAACACCGGGUUAUUUAUCCUUCACGCAAACACAACACAAACACACACACAC